Molecule: long non-coding RNA, 387 nt
Organism: Sinocyclocheilus grahami
Lineage: Eukaryota; Metazoa; Chordata; Actinopteri; Cypriniformes; Cyprinidae
Exons: 4
Source: RefSeq, a predicted model, not a curated record
UCUCAGCCUGUUGAAUGAGCAGGAAGUGAAGCUGGUGGUUCCUACUCAGGCCAUUACGCCAAGAACGUUUGUAAUGAAGCCUGGGAAAAAGCUCAUGCUGGUUAACAGUUGUUGCUUCAAAUCGCAUCCCGGUACAUAUCACCAGUUUAGACAAGGCUGAUGCAAUCUACCAGAAACAUGCUGGGAAUACCCUUCUUGCAGUCCCAUCUGGUGAUGAGGAGUGCAUGAAAACUUUUCCACCACUUGUUGCUCAAGACUUUGAACUCCAGGGGCAGGGCUGUAACACCGCAAUCGCUGACAUCAAGGUCUCAUCAGCAGGCUGGGUUGCUGUGACAGCAGCCGAAAGAGAUCAGCUGUUGUUGAGGACUCGCGCACCUGAAGCAGCAG